GCUUGGAGGGAAAUCACCUUUCAUUGUUUGUGAGGAUGCAGAUGUUGAUAAGGCUGUGGAGCUUGCUCAUUUUGCUCUUUUUUUCAAUCAGGGGCAAUGUUGUUGUGCUGGAUCUCGUACUUUUGUUCAUGAGCGUGUAUACGAUGAAUUUGUCGAAAAAUCAAGGGUACGUGCCCAAAGACGUGUUGUUGGUGACCCUUUCAAGAAGGGUGUUGAACAAGGUCCUCAGAUUGACUCGGAGCAAUUCGAAAAAGUCCUAAGAUACAUCAAAUCUGGCAUUGAAAGUGAUGCUACUUUGGAAUGUGGUGGUGGUAGACUUGGGUCCAAGGGAUACUUCAUCGAGCCAACAGUUUUCUCAAAUGUUAAGGAUGAUAUGUUGAUAGCGAAAGAUGAAAUCUUUGGUCCAGUACAAUCCAUCUUGAAAUUCAAGGACAUUGAUGAAGUAAUUCAAAGGGCAAACUCUACUCGUUACGGUCUAGCUUCGGGAGUUUUCACAUCGAACAUCGACACAGCCAACAUGCUAACACGAGGAUUGAGAACGGGAACCGUGUGGCUCAAUUGCUUUGACAUCUUCGACGCUGCAAUACCUUUUGGUGGGUAUAAAAUGAGUGGAAUAGGAAGGGAGAAGGGAAUUUACAGCCUCCAAAGCUACUUGCAAGUAAAAGCUGUUGUUACACCUCUCAAGAAUCCAGCAUGGUUGUGAGAAUCUCAGCAUUGCAAGUGUAGUACAACAAUAUUUUGUUUUGCAAAAUCAGUUUCUUCUUCUUCUUAAAACUCAAGAAUAAAACAGGAUCUUUCUUCUGUUAUUGUACUUAAGUUAAACUCUAUAAUAAUAUCUACCUCUUAAUAUGAAAA
This 855-nucleotide unclassified non-coding RNA is filed under the name Hevea brasiliensis (rubber tree). Lineage: Eukaryota; Viridiplantae; Streptophyta; Magnoliopsida; Malpighiales; Euphorbiaceae. The record is from RNAcentral.